AGCACAUGCCAACAAAACUAGGACAGCCAUGAAGCAAAUAACAGGAAAUACUUCUAAAAACACGCCGAUGCCCUCUUGAUGGCAGCUCCUCUGCUACAUGACCUUCACUGAUGUCACUCAGUGAAGAAUACACAAGGACUUGGGCCUGGAAUCCUGGCUGGAUUCAGGACACUGCUUUAGAUACCGGGUUAUAUUUAACUUGUGUGGCCAUAUUUUCCUCUGUGUGGAAUUUGGAGAGAAUGCUACAAAGCGCUGUGGUGGAAACCGCCACGAUUCAAGACGUUACACAACCACCUCGCCGUGGCAGCUGCGACACGCCCAAGAGAGGAUCGAGGGGCAUCUUGUUCCGUCAAUAGGGAUGGGACCACAUACAAGAACGUGAACAGUCAUCUUACCCACAUGUCAAGACAACCCUCUAUGAUUCCAGGAGCGUGAGCCAAAGAAGAUUCCAUGCACUUAAGCUCCAUAGUGCAUGAUCAAGCUUACAACUCCAUGUACAGAAGGUAUUGCUCAACCACCAACCCCACCCCCACCCCCCUGCUCCGUUUAGCUUGAGAGGAGACAUCUCGCAUGUCACAGCAAAGGCAGCCAAAGUGUCGGCACUGCAGAAAAGCACCCUCCAUUUCACUGCGCUAGCUGCCAUCUCGGAACGGAACUGUGACACCACCAUUUCAUGGGUCUCAGGUCUCCACUGCCCACUCGCUCAGGGGAUGCUGCCUGCCUCACAGCGAAACCUUGGGGGGGGGGGGGGGGGAAAUAAUUCUGAUGGAAACAUGAGCUAAUUUCUUUUCUUUUUUGUGUUCCGUCAUCCUAUUAAAAUCCUGAGAGGACGGUGUUGGAGAUCCUUGCUGAUUAGUCAGAGACGCGUCUCAAGCUAUAGCAACAAAACAAAACACGUCGAUACAACGGCAGACAUGAAAAUACGAGCCCAUUUCCUUUCUUGUUUUCGACUGUCACAAACAAAAGGUCAAAAAGCAGAAAUGAAAUUGGAUGAGGCAGAUGGCCACUGAUCUUCUUCAGAGGUUCAGAUCUGCUCCGGGAAACAAGGUACCCAAGCUUCUCCAAUACAUUACUGAGAAUUUUUUUAAAAAGAAAACAUUUACGUAACAAAUCAAGAAAUGAAAGGCUACUGUAUGAUAGGUUUGCCCUGAGAAGUUAUCAUACCGGGCUUUAACAACAAUUUUCAGGACGUUUCAAAGACAGCAUCAGUUACCUUUCCAAUCCUCUUCACCAACACAUUAAACAAACAAUAAAUAUUAAAUGAAGCUAACAAGCUAACUUGCAGGUUGCGGAUCAUAUAACUUCAGCACAAAAAGUAGGCCAUCUGUCAAAAGUUGAAGCUGAAACGGAAAAAUGGAUCUUACAGGAUAACCACCAAAAAAGAAGAAUCAAAAAACAACUGAGGGGGCUUCAGAAGGGUCAAAGCGAAUCCCAGAUGCACGGACAACAGAAAAGCACUACUGUAAUUAUUUGUGAUUUCGCAGUGUUUUGUUAAAUUUCAUCGUCAUAAUCCAAUGACAAUAUUUAAAAAUACCAAAUAUGCAUGCACAAAAAUUUGAGGGUAUAUUUUUCCCCCACAUGACUGGAUACAUAAAACGGCAUCUAAAAAGGCAUUACUGCUGCAUAUUUUACCAAAAUUAAAAAUAUGAAAGACGUUACAAGGUAUAUGGUGUUCGGACCAACUAAACAUUAUACAGAUUUACAUAAAGGUUUUAGAAGAGUGGGCAGCAUGAAUACUGCAGUAAUUAUAUCCAUUGUUCUCUCUGCGUAGAGAACAUGGACCCAAAAACACAUAGACCUUCACCAGAAUAAAUUCUUGCAAAUUCCAAACCUACUGAAAAACUUCUACCCAGACUGUUGGCUGGCAUUCAAUACUGAAACAGAGAAGGACAUUAAACAGAAAACAUACAACCAGGAAGCAUGUUCGGACCUUGGAAAAACGCUCUGUGAAAUGAUCUCAUUCCAACCAUGUGCAACUCAAUUUGGGAACAUGUCCAACCACUGAACCAUCACAUCAGGGCUCUCCACAAAACGACCCUGCAUUGUCGUGAGAAAUCCAACACUGAUUUCGAAGGACACAAUUUCAGCUUCUUUUACAUGUUGCAAUAUAUUUAAAACUAUUUCAGUAUGAUGACGGCAGAGAACCAGCAGUGAUUAAAUAAUGAUGAAAUUUUUAUUAAAUGUGAGAAAAUCGUGUACUGUAAUUACUUAGCUGGUAAAGACUUGUCUUUGCAUAUGGACGUGCAUGUACUUUAAAGAUUUACAAUUCUUUGGUGGGGAAAAAAACAACUGGUUCUGCAAUGGUAAUAGAAUUUUUUUCAGUACAAUAUACUUCAUGCAUAUGUUUGUUUAUUGGGGUUGUUUUUUGGAGCGGCACUCCAGUUAAUUGUCGCAUAUUGCCUUCAGUGUUUUAGGAGUGUAACGAGAUCUCGUGUCAGCAGAUCUCGCGAUAUUACAACAUGACGAGAUUUCUCGUUGCAGGAAAAUCGGUCUCGCGAAGGCGCUGCAAAUCAGCUGCUGCAAGCAUGUUAGCGUCUAAUGAAAAAUUACCAUAGUAGAUGCCCGGGACACUUAAAACUUUUGUGUGGCAGCAUUUUGGGUACCCGGCGGAAAAUAUAAAAAUCGGUGAAUGGGUGACAGACGAAACACGAACCAUUGUAGGAAGAUAAUGCCGAACACAGCGGUUAACAAUACUACUAUGCAAAGCCAUUUGCAGCACCAUCAUAGCUCUUUACUUAAAAGCACUACACCGGUAAAGAAAACAUAAAAAAUUUUGUUUGUUAUUUGUUUUAUGUAUAUUCUAUUUUAUGUUCAGUUGAGAAAUCAAAUGGGAGAGAAGCCCGUCGUUUGAGUUUGUAGCGAAGUAUUUUAUGGUGCUAGAUAUUUGUUCUGUUCUUUACUGCAUAUGAUGGCGAUUAUGUAACAUGUCGCCAUACAUCUGCAUUAUUUAGCAUUUUUUGUCUUUCAAAUCAAUCAAAUAAAAGGCUUCUUUCCAGUAA
Long non-coding RNA from Brienomyrus brachyistius, 2999 nucleotides. RefSeq lists it as uncharacterized. The record is from RefSeq and is a predicted model, not a curated record. The transcript has 2 exons. NCBI's taxonomy places the organism in Eukaryota, Metazoa, Chordata, Actinopteri, Osteoglossiformes, Mormyridae.